UACGUAGGGGGCAAGCGUUAUCCGGAUUUACUGGGUGUGAAGGGAGCGUAGACGGCCAGACAAGUCUGAAGUGAAAAUCCAGCGCUUAACGUUGGAAGUGCUUUGGAAACUGCCGGGCUAGAGUGCAGGAGGGGCAGGCGGAAUUCCUAGUGUAGCGGUGAAAUGCGUAGAUAUUAGGAGGAACACCAGUGGCGAAGGCGGCCUGCUGGACUGCAACUGACGUUGAGGCUCGAAGGCGUGGGGAGCAAACAGG
This 253-nucleotide ribosomal RNA is filed under the name uncultured bacterium. Its description in RNAcentral is "partial 16S ribosomal RNA". It matches the Rfam family "Bacterial small subunit ribosomal RNA", at positions 524 to 776 of the family's 1533-position model. The record is from RNAcentral.